RNAcentral lists this ribosomal RNA (467 nucleotides) under uncultured bacterium. RNAcentral's name for it is "bacterial SSU rRNA". It matches the Rfam family "Bacterial small subunit ribosomal RNA", at positions 47 to 507 of the family's 1533-position model. The record is from RNAcentral.
CUUAACACAUGCAAGUCGAGGGGCAGCGGUAUGUAGCAAUACAUAGCCGGCGACCGGCGCAAGGGUGCGUAACGCGUGAGCAACAUGCCCGUCACAGGAGGAUAAUCCAUGGAAACGUGGUCUAAUACUCCAUAGUAUCGGAGUGAGGCAUCUCAUUCUGAUUAAAGCUUCGGUGGUGACGGAUUGGCUCGCGUGACAUUAGCUAGAUGGAGAGGUAACGGCUCACCAUGGCUACGAUGUCUAGGGGAACUGAGAGGUUUAUCCCCCACACUGGUACUGAGACACGGACCAGACUCCUACGGGAGGCAGCAGUGAGGAAUAUUGGACAAUGGAUGGAAAUCUGAUCCAGCCAUGCCGCGUGCAGGACGACGGCCCUAUGGGUCUUAAACUGCUUUUGUAUGGGAGCAAUAAGUUCUACGAGUAGGAUGAUGAGAGUACCAUACGAAUAAGCAUCGGCUAACUCCGUG